GCCCCGUACCUGCCCCGGCCCGGCGGCGGAAGCGGCGGCGGCGGAAGCGGCGGCGGAAGCGGCGGGAGCGGGCGGAGCGAGCGGAGCCAUGUCGGGCCGGGAGGGCGGCAAGAAGAAGCCGCUGAAGCAGCCGAAGAAGCAGACGAAGGACCUGGACGAGACGGAUCUGGCAUUCAAACAAAAACAGAAGGAGGAGCAAAAGAAACUUGAGGAGAUGAAAGCAAAGGCUGCUGGAAAAGGGCCCCUGGCCAGUGGUGGAAUAAAGAAGUCUGGCAAAAAGUAGCUCGAUCAAACUGCAAGUGAUCAAGUUACUCCAUGGACCUGCAGACUUCAGAGAGUCUUGAAAACACUCUGUCAUUUGGGAAACAUUGUACAUUUUGUUUAGUCAGAAUAAAUCCUUUUUGUUAAGAUGUGA
Prinia subflava (tawny-flanked prinia) is the source of this 415-nucleotide long non-coding RNA. RefSeq lists it as uncharacterized. The record is from RefSeq and is a predicted model, not a curated record. The transcript has 4 exons. Lineage: Eukaryota; Metazoa; Chordata; Aves; Passeriformes; Cisticolidae.